This is a non-coding RNA of Misgurnus anguillicaudatus (oriental weatherfish), 1562 nucleotides long. NCBI's taxonomy places the organism in Eukaryota, Metazoa, Chordata, Actinopteri, Cypriniformes, Cobitidae. The record is from RefSeq and is a predicted model, not a curated record.
UACCUACUGUUUUAAUGCCAAGUAAGUAGGUACUUCAUCUAAUUCAGUACCUACUAUACAGUAUGCGGUUUCGGACGCAGCCAGUAAGUAUGCGAUUUCGGAUUCAGCCCUAGAAUUUCCUCCACUGCCUAUUGAAUGCGCCACACCCAGUCCAGUAGGAGGCGCUAAUGACCCUUCAGUUGCCAACCGCCACUCAGGCCAAAAGCGCAGAAGAACAAAAUGACUGGGAAAAUCUGACAGGACUGAGAAGAGGAUAACAGCACAGCGGGGUUUCAGAAGCCCAUCAGAGUGAAUUUCUGAGUUCUUUCACAUAUGCUGUAUGGUCAGCGAAUGGAUGGAUUAUCCAGUCACGGUACAUAAUGAAAGACUUGACUGAGUUAGAAGAAGCUGAGCGACUCUUCAGAGUGAAGAUGUUAUGAGGCCUGCCAAAAGAUCCACCCAAAAGUGCCAGUUAAGGUGUAAGAAGAGUGCAUUGCAGACACCUUGAAGUACGUUCCUCAUCGUGAUUCAAGAAUGGGGCAUGAAGACACAGGCCAUGGACAGUGCUAGUUUUCAGCACUCACAUCCCACACACACACAAAUUUAUAAAGUUCUCACUGAUUCAAUGUUUUUAUUAAAGCUAGUUAUGUUUUGCUGUCAAUUUAUAUUUUAUUGUCGUAAGUAUUAUGUUAUUAAGUAUUAUGUUACAAUUUAUGUAAUUUUGAUCUGUUAAUGAGUUACGUUGCACCUGGAAUGUAAUCAUUUAAUAAAAUUAUGUUAAAAGAGAAUGAAGGAUCACUGCUAAGCUAAAAAAAAUGUUUUAUCUAAACUUUGUAAUGUUCUAAAUAAGUGUUCUCAGAACGUUGUAUUUUUAAAAAGAAAUGUUGGUAGCAAGAACGUUGUGGGAGCAAUGUUAAGCAAACUGGACAUUUUAACGUUCCAAAUGAAUGUUUGUAGAAUGUUAUAUUUUUAAUUAAAUUUAGGUGGUAAGAACGUUGUAGGAACGUUAUGCUAACCAUAAAAUAACGUUCUAGCAACGUUAAGCAAACUGGACAUUUCAACGUUCUUAGAACGUUCCAAACAAACGUUUGUAGAACGUUAUAUUUUUAGUGAAAUUUAGGUUGUAAGGUUUUGUAUAUUUUCAUUGUGUGCUUGUCUUUGUCUUUAGCUAAAACAACUUAUAUGGUUUAGCUGAAUUUAGACAGUAUUACAAUUUUAUAGAAAAAAAUGUCACAAUUUUUGUUUAUUUGGAAAAACAUUUAUCUGUCAACCACAGCUGUCCCUUUAAAGAGGUCUUCUUAAAAUAUUUGAGAGCGAUAUUCUCAUUGAAUAAACAAUGGAUUUAAAUGACUGAACGAGCGACAGAUAAGAAAAGCUUGCUUUUAUUCACUGCAACCACAAAGGAAACCAAACUAACAAGUGAAAGUCAACACAAACUUCCACUUUACAGGAACUUAUGGUAUGUCAUGUAUGUGUGAACUCUGAAAUAAUUAAACUCUGUUCAUUCAGUGUUUUUAUAUCAUUCAUUUAAUGUGAACUUUAUUUGCUGGCUUAUGUUUUUUUUUAUGUUUGUCUGCUAUCUG